GUAGGUGGCAAGCGUUGUCCGGAAUUAUUGGGCGUAAAGCGCGCGCAGGCGGUCCUUUAAGUCUGAUGUGAAAGCCCACGGCUCAACCGUGGAGGGUCAUUGGAAACUGGGGGACUUGAGUACAGAAGAGGAAAGCGGAAUUCCAAGUGUAGCGGUGAAAUGCGUAGAGAUUUGGAGGAACACCAGUGGCGUAGGCGGCUUUCUGGUCUGUAACUGACGCUGAGGCGCGAAAGCGUGGGGAGCAAACAGGAUUAGAUACCCUGGUAGUCCACGCCGUAAACGAUGAGUGCUAAGUGUUAGGGGGUUUCCCGCCCCCCUUAGUGCUGCAGCUAACGCAUUAAGCACUCCGCCUGGGGAGUACGGCCGCAAGGCUG
RNAcentral lists this ribosomal RNA (374 nucleotides) under uncultured organism. RNAcentral's name for it is "partial 16S ribosomal RNA". It matches the Rfam family "Bacterial small subunit ribosomal RNA", at positions 527 to 896 of the family's 1533-position model. The record is from RNAcentral.